This 496-nucleotide ribosomal RNA is filed under the name uncultured bacterium. RNAcentral describes it as "partial 16S ribosomal RNA". It matches the Rfam family "Bacterial small subunit ribosomal RNA", at positions 29 to 507 of the family's 1533-position model. The record is from RNAcentral.
AUGAACGCUGGCGGCGUGCCUAAUACAUGCAAGUCGAGCGAACAGAUGAGGAGCUUGCUCCUCUGACGUUAGCGGCGGACGGGUGAGUAACACGUGGAUAACCUACCUAUAAGACUGGGAUAACUUCGGGAAACCGGAGCUAAUACCGGAUAAUAUAUUGAACCGCAUGGUUCAAUAGUGAAAGACGGUUUUGCUGUCACUUAUAGAUGGAUCCGCGCCGCAUUAGCUAGUUGGUAAGGUAACGGCUUACCAAGGCAACGAUGCGUAGCCGACCUGAGAGGGUGAUCGGCCACACUGGAACUGAGACACGGUCCAGACUCCUACGGGAGGCAGCAGUAGGGAAUCUUCCGCGAUGGGCGAAAGCCUGACGGAGCAACGCCGCGUGAGUGAUGAAGGUCUUCGGAUCGUAAGACUCUGUUAUUAGGGAAGAACAAAUGUGUAAGUAACUAUGCACGUCUUGACGGUACCUAAUCAGAAAGCCACGGCUAACUACGUG